GUCCACGCCGUAAACGAUGAAUACUAGGUGUCGGGGAGCAAAGCUCUUCGGUGCCGUCGCAAACGCAGUAAGUAUUCCACCUGGGGAGUACGUUCGCAAGAAUGAAACUCAAAGGAAUUGACGGGGACCCCGCACAAGCGGUGGAGCAUGUGGUUUAAUUCGAAGCAACGCGAAGAACCUUACCAAAUCUUGACAUCCCUCUGACCGGUCUUUAAUCGGACCUUCUCUUCGGAGCAGAGGUGACAGGUGGUGCAUGGUUGUCGU
RNAcentral lists this ribosomal RNA (264 nucleotides) under uncultured bacterium. Its description in RNAcentral is "partial 16S ribosomal RNA". It matches the Rfam family "Bacterial small subunit ribosomal RNA", at positions 793 to 1055 of the family's 1533-position model. The record is from RNAcentral.